Zonotrichia leucophrys gambelii is the source of this 323-nucleotide long non-coding RNA. RefSeq lists it as uncharacterized. The record is from RefSeq and is a predicted model, not a curated record. Lineage: Eukaryota; Metazoa; Chordata; Aves; Passeriformes; Passerellidae. The transcript has 3 exons.
CAAAACUUUCCUAAUGAAAUCUGAGGGAAACUGCUGGUCCGUUUGGGAUUUCAACACUAAUUAAGUGAGGAAGUUCUCAGUCAUGAUUGGACCCAGCUUCUUUGCACAAACUGUUAUAGAAGCUGAAGGCAGGACACAGCUUUGAGUGAAUGGCCAAGGAAACAAAACAAUCCUCAGCAGAAUCCAGUUACCAGAUUCCUUCAGCUUCUCUCUGUUCAGAGGGCAUGUGGACACCACAGACAUACAGCAUGGCUGCACAAAAUCACUGUGAGGCUGAAGUGUUACAGUGUCCAUGAACUUCUUCCCAGUGGGCUUGACUGAGG